This 375-nucleotide RNase P RNA is filed under the name Devosia sp. RNAcentral describes it as "RNase P RNA component class A". It matches the Rfam family "Bacterial RNase P class A". From Rfam's summary of the family: Ribonuclease P (RNase P) is a ubiquitous endoribonuclease, found in archaea, bacteria and eukarya as well as chloroplasts and mitochondria. Its best characterised activity is the generation of mature 5'-ends of tRNAs by cleaving the 5'-leader elements of precursor-tRNAs. Lineage: Bacteria; Pseudomonadati; Pseudomonadota; Alphaproteobacteria; Hyphomicrobiales; Devosiaceae. RNAcentral also lists the same sequence under 1 other name. The record is from RNAcentral.
CCAGUCGACCGGGUGGCCGCGCUCACAAGGCGAGGAAAGUCCGGGCUCCAUCGAAAUACGGUGACGGCUAACGGCCGCCGGGGGCGACCCCAGGGAAAGUGCCACAGAGAGCAGACCGCCUGCCUCGGCAGGUAAGGGUGAAAGGGUGCGGUAAGAGCGCACCGCGGACCGGGCAACCGGGACGGCACGGCAAACCCCACCGGGAGCAAGACCAAAUAGGGAUGACGCGGGGUUCGCCCCGGGCCGGUUUCGAGGCCAGUCGUCCGGGUUGGUUGCUCGAGAGGCGCGGCAACGCGUCUCCCAGAGGAAUGGCCACCACGUCUGCAUCGCAGGAUGCAGGCCCUACAGAACCCGGCUUACAGGUCGACUGGCGCU